RNAcentral lists this ribosomal RNA (466 nucleotides) under uncultured bacterium. Its description in RNAcentral is "partial 16S ribosomal RNA". It matches the Rfam family "Bacterial small subunit ribosomal RNA", at positions 28 to 507 of the family's 1533-position model. The record is from RNAcentral.
GAUGAACGCUGGCGGCGUGCUUAACACAUGCAAGUCGAACGAUGAAGCCCAGCUUGCUGGGUGUAUUAGUGGCGAACGGGUGAGUAACACGUGAGUAACCUGCCCUUAACUCUGGGAUAAGCCUGGGAAACUGGGUCUAAUACCGGAUAGGAGCGUCCACCGCAUGGUGGGUGUUGGAAAGAUUUAUCGGUUUUGGAUGGACUCGCGGCCUAUCAGCUUGUUGGUGGGGUAAUGGCUCACCAAGGCGACGACGGGUAGCCGGCCUGAGAGGGUGACCGGCCACACUGGGACUGAGACACGGCCCAGACUCCUACGGGAGGCAGCAGUGGGGAAUAUUGCACAAUGGGCGCAAGCCUGAUGCAGCGACGCCGCGUGAGGGAUGACGGCCUUCGGGUUGUAAACCUCUUUCAGUAGGGAAGAAGCGAAAGUGACGGUACCUGGAGAAGAAGCACCGGCUAACUACGUG